Nycticebus coucang (slow loris) is the source of this 107-nucleotide small nuclear RNA. Lineage: Eukaryota; Metazoa; Chordata; Mammalia; Primates; Lorisidae. The record is from RefSeq and is a predicted model, not a curated record.
GAGCUCCCCUGGGUAGCACAUACACUAAAAUUUGAGUGAUACAGAGAAAACUAGUAUGGCUUCCGUGCAAGAAUGGCACACACAUUUGCAAAGCAUUCUAUAUAAAA